AGCAGGGCAAGGGCAGGGACAGGAGCUUCCUCCGGCGGGAAACGGCAAAUUUUUUGCGCGAGGACCUCAAAUAUUUCCUCCCCAAAUUCCCCAAAACCCCCUCUCCAUCGGCACUGCUCUCCGAACCCUAGAGAUAGAAAGGGCGGAAACCCUAGCCAUGGUGAUCGCCGUGGAGGGCAACGGGUUCGUGCACGGCGAGGAGGAGGAAGCGGAGGACAACGACCGCCCCAUCCGCUACCUCCCCCUUGGCCACGUUUACUCCUCCUCCGCCCCCGCCCCGCGCUCCCCGGCCCUGAAGAAGCCCCGCGUCGACGACGGCAAGCCCCCCUUGAAAGUGUACUACCGCCGCCACCGCAAGAAGCCGCGGGUCGAGGAGGCACCGCCGCCGCCCUCGAUGGCCCCACCCGCGCCGCGGGUGCAGGAUGAGGACGCUGGGUCCUCGCGGCGGAAGGGCUCCCUCAAGCACGAACUGCUCAGCCUGGGGUCCGCCCAUCCUGCAUUGGACGGGGACGGGGACGGGGAGGGAGGGGAGCCCUCGCGGCGCCGAGGGCGAAUGAGACGCGGCGGAGGGGCUGAGGCUAUGGUUUGCUUCUCCGAGCAUGAGAGGCAGGGGCCGGGGAGGCCCAAGGGCUCGGUCGGGAGGAGAUGGGUAGAGUUGGAUAUUCAGAGUGCGGAUCCUAACGCUUUUGUCGGAUUAGUGUGCAAGGUUUUCUGGCCGCUGGAUGAUGAUUGGUACAAGGGCUCCAUCACGGUGUACAAUGAAGCAACCAAGAAGCAUUCGGUGAAGUAUGUUGACGGUGAAGAAGAGGACCUUAGCCUGGCAGAUGAAAGGAUAAAAUUUUCUAUCUCAUCUGAAGAAAUGAAGUCCAUGAAUCUAAGUAUUGGAAUUUCCAAUCAGGAUAAGAAGGGCCAUGAUGAGUUGCUUGCACUUGCUGUUAGCUUUCAUGACUACCAGGGUCUUGACCCAGGUGACCUUGUGUGGGCUAAAAUUACAGGUCAUGCAAUGUGGCCGGCGGUUGUGGUGGAUGAGUCAGAUGUACCUGCAAACAGGGCUUUGAAGCCAGUUCGAUUGGACCAAUCAAUACUUGUUCAAUUCUUUGGUACUCAUGACUUUGCAAGGGUUAAGUUGAAGCAAGCUGUGCCAUUCCUCAAUGGACUUCUUUCAUCUUUGCAUCUCAAAUGCAAGCAAGCAAGUUUCAGUCGGAGCUUAGAAGAAGCCAAGGAAUUUCUGCGCACACAUCAGCUUCCAGAAAUUAUGUUGCAGCUAAGGAAAUCCGUACAACACGAUGGUUCUGAUGUUAAUUCCUGCGAGGACAGGGUAGACUCUUGUGGUAAUUUAUCAGAAGAUAGAUCAGUGCAAAAUGGAGAGGAUUAUGCUGAAAUGACUCAAAUAGAACUAGGAAACCUUCGUGUGAGCAAUUUAGGUAGGAUAGUAUCUGAUUCAGAUCAUUUCCAUAGUAAAAAGCAUAUAUGGCCUGAAGGAUAUACUGCUUUCAGAAAGUUCAUGUCAAUAAUAGACCCAAAUUCAGUAACAUCUUACAAAAUGGAAGUACUAAGGAAUUCAGAUGCAAAAGCCCGCCCAUUGUUUAGGGUGAUCUCAGAAGAUGGAGUGCAGAUUGAUGGAUCUACCCCUAAUGCAUGUUGGAAAGAGAUAUACUGCAGAAUAAAGGAAAAACAGUGCAGUGCUGCCACUGAAUUGGAAAGAAAUGUAUGCCAAAGAUCUGGUUCCUACAUGUUUGGCUUUUCAAAUCCGCAGAUAAGGCAGCUUAUUCAGGAAUUGCCCAAUGCGAGGUCAUGUCUGAAAUAUUUUGAGAACAGUGGGGACACUAUCCUUGGUUACAGAGCUGUUCAUGUUAAUUGGAAGGAUCUGGACUUUUGCAAUGUUUGUGAUAUGGAUGAGGAGUAUGAAGACAACUUAUUUUUACAAUGCGACAAGUGCCGUAUGAUGGUUCAUGCUAGAUGUUACGGCGAACUAAAACAAUUGGAUGGAGGACUUUGGCUUUGCAACUUGUGCCGACCUGGUGCACCUCGCAUGUCUCCAAAAUGCUGCCUAUGUCCAGUCACAGGUGGUGCAAUGAAACCUACAACAGAUGGCCGUUGGGCUCAUCUUGCUUGUGCUAUAUGGAUCCCUGAAACAUGCUUAAAAGAUGUAAAGAGGAUGGAGCCGAUUGAUGGAUUGAGCAGGAUCAACAAGGACCGUUGGAAACUUGUAUGCAGCAUUUGCGGAGUUUCAUAUGGAGUUUGUAUACAGUGUUCUCAUCCUACCUGUCGUGUUGCAUAUCACCCUCUUUGUGCACGUGCUGCUGAUCUUUGUGUUGAGCUUGAAGAUGAUGACAAAAUCCACCACAUGUUACUUGAUGAAGAUGAGGAUCCUUGUAUUCGAUUACUCUCUUACUGCAAAAAGCACAGACAACCAUCUGCUGAACGUCCAUCUCUAGAAAGUGACCCUGCUGAGCCCUUUCAGUUGGUUCAGACAGAUAUGGCUUCAUCAUCCGGUUGUGCAAGGACUGAACCCUAUAAUUUUCACAGGAGAAGGGGCCAAAAGCAACCACAAGUCAUGGCUACUGCUUCCAUGAAACGUUUAUAUGUGGAGAAUAGACCUUAUAUUGUCAGUGGCUACUGCCAAAAUAGAGUAGGCAAUCAUACUUGCAGUGAAUCACUUCAACCGGUUGGCUUGUCAGAUGUUGUGCAGCAAGAAGCUUUCGGCAAUGUUUCUUCUAUGGUUGAAAAAUAUACAAGCAUGAAGGCUACAUUUAGGAAGAGACUAACUUUUGGAAAAUCAAGAAUUCAUGGCUUUGGUGUCUUUGCCAAGGUUGCACACAAGGCAGGAGAUAUGAUGAUUGAAUACAUAGGGGAGAUUGUUAGACCACCGAUAUCAGACAUCAGAGAGCGGCGAAUAUACAACUCACUAGUGGGUGCUGGGACAUAUAUGUUCAGGAUAGAUGAUGAGCGUGUUAUAGAUGCUACUCGGGCAGGAAGUGUAGCUCAUCUUAUCAAUCACUCAUGUGAGCCUAAUUGUUAUUCACGUGCUAUAACUGUUCUUGGGGAUGAACACAUCAUCAUUUUUGCAAAGCGGGACAUAGAUCCAUGGGAAGAGUUGACGUAUGAUUAUAGGUUUUUUUCGAGUGAUCAACGACUUCCCUGUUAUUGUGGAUUCCCCAAAUGCCGAGGAGUUGUUAAUGAUGUUGAGGCAGAAGAACAGGCAGCUAAAAUAAGGUUAAAGAGAAGUGAAUUAUUUCAAAAAGGAGAUAACUAAAGGUCAGUGUACAAAGACCUGCCUGUCUGUGCCAACAUGAAAUUGCUGCUGCUGAGUACCAACGAAGUAGAGAGUAUUCAUCGGUUGGGAGAUGGCACAGGCUUGGGUAAUAUCAUUAUACUUGCCUGUGCCUACUGUCAAAUUAAUUUGCUGAGUUCAUUCUAGGAACUCUGAUAAUUCUUGUCAUUCAUUUAGAAUGGAAUGCCAAUGUAAUUGUAUAGGUAGCCAAUAGGUUAGGCAGGCAAUCCAAUUUGGGAACGGCAGUUGAGUCGAUUGUGUAGAGUACCAUUGAAAUAUUGGGUGUUUACAUGUAAUUUGGCCACUAAUCAUGCCACCUAUAAACCUCUGGAAUUGCGACUUGCGUGAUCCGAUUAAAUAGUCUGAGAUGGCAUGCCAAGUGAAACCAAAAUACAUGGUUGGAAUUUGGGCGAUGCCCUUCCAUGCUACCAUAACAAAUUGUAGCGACAAUGGUUGGGUUUCUAUAGCUUUACGGGAGGAGAAACAUCGACUUCGACUGAAUGCAUGUCUCUGUUACAAAUUUUUAUUGGUA
Panicum hallii is the source of this 3806-nucleotide RNA transcript. It is a transcript of the gene named histone-lysine N-methyltransferase TRX1-like, with no coding region annotated. The record is from RefSeq and is a predicted model, not a curated record. NCBI's taxonomy places the organism in Eukaryota, Viridiplantae, Streptophyta, Magnoliopsida, Poales, Poaceae. The transcript has 25 exons.